UAGACAGGACUGAGUAGGGUAGCCGGUUUUCUCAAUCCAAAAUCUCGAUUAAACACGAUUCGACUUAUAAUUUUGUUUACUGUGUUGAUUCUACGUCUGGGUAUCCUGUGCACACACUCCAUCUACUUAAUUUGAUCCACAUCCUCAAGAAAUAUACUUGGUUGUGUACCGUCACCUUAAGCAGGAUUGCUACACUGAGUAAAGUCCUAAGGAUGUUUUGGUACCAUCUCGACAGUCUCAAGUUGCCAAGAAGAAUGAAAACUACGCUUAUCGGAGAUUACUGAAGGUGGUUACCGGAUUGAGAAAACACGAGUGCUGUGAAAUGACAGACUGGAGAAAGACUAGUAGUAGUUUGAAGAAAGACUGCUGACAUUACCGGUGCGUUUACAAGAUCGAACUAUGUUCGACGGACAAAAUCGUUACCAUAUCACAGGAGAAGCAGAAUGACGUCAUAAGCGGUGAAACGAUUAAAGCGGAUCUGGCAACAGGCAGUGUUUACCACCGUUUCGAAUCUGCUCACAGGGCAUAGACCGGUGGACAAUGUUUGAAGGUGAUGUCCGUUGGUAACUCAGGCAUUUAAUUCAGUGUGGGGCCUUAGACGACUGGUGCAGUACAUCACUACCGUGGUACACAGGAAAAGAAAAAAAAAAGGCCAAAAAAAAUUGCACUAUGAUAAUUGCUGUACUCUGUGAGGAGGAGGAGGAGAUGCCAAGAAGGGAAUGGUGCAAGGACUGGUUGCACAAACUAAAUGAAGUGGGAAGCCAUGCAACCAUUUUCCAAGAAUUGAAAACUGGCUAUGAAUCGGACUUCACAAACUAUAUGCGCAUGGACUCAAAUACUUUCUACGAUUUAAUGGAAAAGGUUAAACCUGUUAUAACCAAGCAGGACACCUGUAUGAGUAAGCGCAUUUCACCUGCAGCACGUCUGGAAGUAACGUUGAUGUAUCUUUCCACCGGGUGCUCCUACAGUGCCCUUCAAUACUGUACAAGAAUUUCAAAACCGAGUCUGUCUGCAAUCAUUCCUGAUACGUGCAAAGCCAUCUGUGAUGUGCUUAAGGAUCCAUACUUAAAAGACACCCCAAACAGCGGAGGAGUGGAUGCGUGUAGCAGAGGGGUUUUCCAAGAAGUGGAACUUUCCUAAUUGCAUCGGAGCAGUUGACGGGAAGCACAUCCUGAUAAGGCCACCACCUGAUAGCGGCUGCUCCUACUACAACUACAAAGGAAGCCACAGCAUCGUGUUAAUGGCCGUCUCCAAUGCAGACUCAAACUUCAUAUAUGUCGACGUGGGCACUAAUGGACGAGUGUCGGAUGGUGGAGUUUGGGAUACCUGUUCUCUCAACCAGCAUAUUGAAGCAGAAGCGUCAUAUCUUAUAACCUUUCUCUCAUCGAAAUCAAAACCUUGAGCAACGUGUGUUUUCCUACCAACUGUCAAGAGCUCGACGCACCGUAGAAAACGCAUUCGGAAUACUUGCUAACAGAUUUGAAGUGUUUCAUAAACUCAUUAACCUUGAACCAACAAAAGUAGUACAAAUAGUACUUGCUUGCACUGCACUACAUAAUUACCUUCGCACAGCACCUGUCGCCCCAAAUGUGUGUUCGGAUGCAAAUAACGAAAACACUGACGACAUCCCUGGAAUGCUACCGCUUGAGUAUUAGCAACAAAACUCCACCAUCCAUGGAACAAUUGUACGCAAUCUGUAAAUGAAAUAUUUCAAUGAGGAAGGUGCUGUGAUCUGGGAAAACAGACAUACAUGAGGCUAAGUUACAAUAACUCCUGAGUAAAAUUAUAAU
This is a long non-coding RNA of Macrobrachium nipponense, 1790 nucleotides long. RefSeq lists it as uncharacterized. The record is from RefSeq and is a predicted model, not a curated record. Lineage: Eukaryota; Metazoa; Arthropoda; Malacostraca; Decapoda; Palaemonidae. The transcript has 5 exons.